RNAcentral lists this transfer RNA (92 nucleotides) under Desulfofustis limnaeus. RNAcentral describes it as "Desulfobulbaceae bacterium PPLL tRNA-Thr". Lineage: Bacteria; Pseudomonadati; Thermodesulfobacteriota; Desulfobulbia; Desulfobulbales; Desulfocapsaceae. The record is from RNAcentral.
CCGUGUUGAUGGACAAGGACACGAUCCUGCGUGGUCAGCAGGUCUGGCAGUCCAUCGGCGGCCAGCAGGUCGGUUCGAUCUGGGGGCACGGA